Long non-coding RNA from Papio anubis (olive baboon), 1698 nucleotides. NCBI's taxonomy places the organism in Eukaryota, Metazoa, Chordata, Mammalia, Primates, Cercopithecidae. The record is from Ensembl.
AGUUUGAAAAGUUCAUGACAGCUCACAGCUCACGAUGGUGGCAAUCUUAAGGAUACAGAAAGCUCAUUCCUCAUGCAGGGAAGAAGAAAAUAUUCUAAAGAAGAGAUAAGCAUAUUCCGCGAAAUCAAAAAAGGCUGUUCUUAUUGUUGUGAUACCUUGGGGAACACAAAUGGAGUUGAGUGGGUCCCAGAGGAAAAGCCUACCCAGAACCUGCUCAAUGCUAGAAGCUCGGCAACUGCUAACAACCAGCUGGAGGGGUUUGGCCUGAAGAACGCAUCCUCCAUAAAUCCCUUGUCCUCAGUUUCUGACUCAGGCUCUGCUUCUGGAGAACCCAACAUAAAAUGAAGAAAAUUUGAGUUCCUGACCAUACUUCGAUUUAUCACACCUAAUGAUUUCUAAUCUUCACAAUGACUCUUCGAGGUAGGGAUUAUUAAUCCCAUUUUGUGAAUUAUUAAGAUAGGUACACUGAGCUAGAUUCAGCAAAAAGGUAGGUCCCAGGAAGAUAGUUCAGAUAGAUACUGAACUGCUUCAGUAGUUCCUAAGGAGAAGCUGAUCAAGGCUGCCUUUAGUAGGAAGGUACUUGGGGACCCAACUCCAGGGCCCUAGGCUCUAACUUCCCACAAACCGAUCCCUUCAGAGGGAAGGCAGAGGUGAGAGGACAGAAACUGUAUCUUUUUUCAAUCCAUGUUAUAUGGUCACUGUUCUAAAUCUCUGAAAAUUAAUCUUAGUCAUUCCCGAUACCUGGCAGGUGGAAUACGUUAAAUAUGUUUUCAAAUUAACAUAUACCUAAGGAGUCCAGGGUCUAGAUCGCAGUGCAGUUUCUCUCAGUUUGGAGUCUUCAUUAUGUGUCUGUUUCCCUGGAGCUAGGAUUCAUCCCUGUAGUGAGCCUUCUGACUGCAGCUGAUAGCAUUCCUCUAUCUCACCUUCCGAUGGGGUGGUUCAAGACCAGUGGUAGAUUCAUAAGUACACAAGCCUGGACAUCUGAAUGAGUUGGGACUUUCUGGAUCAAUUGUCCAGGCUUGAGGUAAGCUUUCAAGUGACUAACAAACAUGGCAAGCUUGUGCUGCAUGGGAACCUACUGACCAGAUGGAAGAAAACUUAAUUGAACACAGAGUCGAUUUUCAAAGUUUAGAAUAUGGUGUGUUGAGAUACAUUUGUUAGCCUUCUCCUUUCUGCUAGGGGAUGCUGUUGAGGAAGCAUUGUCAAAGUCUCUCUUCCCACUGCUGUCGUGUCUCAGUCGGAGUCUCCUAAACAGCCUGAAUGGCUGUGGAAGCUCCUCAUUGGAGGGUUGAGCUUUGAAACGAAUGCUGAGAGCCUGAGGAGCCAUUUUGAGCAAUGGGGAACACUCCCGAACUGUGUGGAAGUGAGAUCCAAACACCAAGCGCUCCAGGGCCUUUGGGGUUGUCACAAAUGCCACUGUGGAGGAGGCAGAUGCUGCCAUGCAUACAAGGCCACACAUGGAGAUGGAAGAAUUAUACAACCAAAGAGUUGUCUCAGGAGAAGAUUCUCAGAGACCAAGUGCCCACUUAGCUGUGAAGAAGAUAUUUGUUGGUGGCAUUAAAGAAGACACUGAAGAACACCACCUAAGAGAUUAUUUUGAACAGCAUGGGAAAAUUGAAGUGAUUGAAACCAUGACUGACCAAGGCAGUGGCAAGUAAAAGGGCUUUGCUUUUGUCACCUUUGAUGAUCAUGACUCCA